This 74-nucleotide transfer RNA is filed under the name Camelus bactrianus (Bactrian camel). It matches the Rfam family "tRNA". From Rfam's summary of the family: Transfer RNA (tRNA) molecules are approximately 80 nucleotides in length. Lineage: Eukaryota; Metazoa; Chordata; Mammalia; Artiodactyla; Camelidae. RNAcentral also lists the same sequence under 3 other names. The record is from Rfam by way of RNAcentral.
GAGGGUAUAGCUCAGUGCUAGAGUGCAUGCUUAGCAUGCACAAGGGUCCUGGGUUCAAAUGCCCAGUACCUCCA